Molecule: ribosomal RNA, 1396 nt
Filed under: uncultured bacterium
Lineage: Bacteria
Description: partial 16S ribosomal RNA
Rfam family: Bacterial small subunit ribosomal RNA
Source: RNAcentral
CGUGCCUAAUACAUGCAAGUCGAGCGAGCUUGCCUAGAUGAUUUUAGUGCUUGCACUAAAUGAAACUAGAUACAAGCGAGCGGCGGACGGGUGAGUAACACGUGGGUAACCUGCCCAAGAGACUGGGAUAACACCUGGAAACAGAUGCUAAUACCGGAUAACAACACUAGACGCAUGACUAGAGUUUGAAAGAUGGUUCUGCUAUCACUCUUGGAUGGACCUGCGGUGCAUUAGCUAGUUGGUAAGGUAACGGCUUACCAAGGCAAUGAUGCAUAGCCGAGUUGAGAGACUGAUCGGCCACAUUGGGACUGAGACACGGCCCAAACUCCUACGGGAGGCAGCAGUAGGGAAUCUUCCACAAUGGACGAAAGUCUGAUGGAGCAACGCCGCGUGAGUGAAGAAGGGUUUCGGCUCGUAAAGCUCUGUUGGUAGUGAAGAAAGAUAGAGGUAGUAACUGGCCUUUAUUUGACGGUAAUUACUUAGAAAGUCACGGCUAACUACGUGCCAGCAGCCGCGGUAAUACGUAGGUGGCAAGCGUUGUCCGGAUUUAUUGGGCGUAAAGCGAGUGCAGGCGGUUCAAUAAGUCUGAUGUGAAAGCCUUCGGCUCAACCGGAGAAUUGCAUCAGAAACUGUUGAACUUGAGUGCAGAAGAGGAGAGUGGAACUCCAUGUGUAGCGGUGGAAUGCGUAGAUAUAUGGAAGAACACCAGUGGCGAAGGCGGCUCUCUGGUCUGCAACUGACGCUGAGGCUCGAAAGCAUGGGUAGCGAACAGGAUUAGAUACCCUGGUAGUCCAUGCCGUAAACGAUGAGUGCUAAGUGUUGGGAGGUUUCCGCCUCUCAGUGCUGCAGCUAACGCAUUAAGCACUCCGCCUGGGGAGUACGACCGCAAGGUUGAAACUCAAAGGAAUUGACGGGGGCCCGCACAAGCGGAGGAACAUGUGGUUUAAUUCGAUGAUACGCGAGGAACCUUACCCGGGCUCAAACGCAGGAGGGAUGUUUUUGAAAGGAGGCAGCCAGCAAUGGUCUCCUGCGAGGUGCUGCAUGGUUGUCGUCAGCUCGUGCCGUGAGGUGUCGGCUUAAGUGCCAUAACGAGCGCAACCCCUACCUACAGUUGCCAUCGCGUGAUGGCGGGCACUCUGUGGGGACUGCCUGCGCAAGCAGUGAGGAAGGCGGGGAUGACGUCAAAUCAGCACGGCCCUUACGUCCGGGGCGACACACGUGUUACAAUGGCAGGUACAGCGGGAAGCCACCCGGCGACGGGGCGCGGAACCCGAAAACCUGUCUCAGUUCGGAUUGGAGUCUGCAACCCGACUCCAUGAAGCUGGAUUCGCUAGUAAUCGCGCAUCAGCCACGGCGCGGUGAAUACGUUCCCGGGCCUUGCACACACCGCCCGUCA